Molecule: ribosomal RNA, 397 nt
Filed under: uncultured bacterium
Lineage: Bacteria
Description: bacterial SSU rRNA
Rfam family: Bacterial small subunit ribosomal RNA
Source: RNAcentral
UAAAACGUAGGAGGCAAGCGUUAUCCGGAUUUACUGGGCGUAAAGAGCACGCAGGCGGCUGCGUAAGUCGGACGUGAAAGCUCCUGGCUCAACUGGGAGAGGUCGUUCGAAACUGCGCGGCUUGAGGUUGGAAGAGGAGAGCGGAAUUCCCGGUGUAGUGGUGGAAUGCGUAGAUAUCGGGAGGAACACCAGUGGCGAAAGCGGCUCUCUGGUCCACACCUGACGCUCAGGUGCGAAAGCGUGGGUAGCGAACGGGAUUAGAUACCCCGGUAGUCCACGCUGUAAACGAUGCGAACUAGGUGUUGGUAGUAUUAAACCUAUCAGUGCCGAAGCUAACGCGAUAAGUUCGCCGCCUGGGGACUACGGCCGCAAGGCUAAAACUUAAAUGAAUUGACGG